UCAACGAACUUCGGGUUAGUGGCGGACGGGUGAGUAACGCGUGAGAAUCUGCCCUCAGGAGGGGGACAACAGCUGGAAACGGCUGCUAAUACCCCAUAUGCCGCGAGGUGAAAUGAAUUUCGCCUGAGGAUGAGCUCGCGUCUGAUUAGCUAGUUGGUGUAGGUAAUGGCUUACCAAGGCAUCGAUCAGUAGCUGGUCUGAGAGGAUGAUCAGCCACACUGGGACUGAGACACGGCCCAGACUCCUACGGGAGGCAGCAGUGGGGAAUUUUCCGCAAUGGGCGAAAGCCUGACGGAGCAACGCCGCGUGAGGGAUGAAGGCCUCUGGGCUGUAAACCUCUUUUAUCAAGGAAGAAGAUCUGACGGUACUUGAUGAAUAAGCCACGGCUAAUUCCGUGCCAGCAGCCGCGGUAAUACGGGAGUGGCAAGCGUUAUCCGGAAUUAUUGGGCGUAAAGCGUCCGCAGGCGGCCCUUCAAGUCUGCUGUUAAAAAGUGGAGCUUAACUCCAUCAUGGCAGUGGAAACUGUUGGGCUUGAGUGUGGUAGGGGCAGAGGGAAUUCCCGGUGUAACGG
Molecule: ribosomal RNA, 571 nt
Filed under: uncultured Synechococcus sp.
Lineage: Bacteria; Bacillati; Cyanobacteriota; Cyanophyceae; Synechococcales; Synechococcaceae
Description: bacterial SSU rRNA
Rfam family: Bacterial small subunit ribosomal RNA
Source: RNAcentral